CAAUGACAAAAUGCAACAAAGUAGGCAGCUCACGUAAGAGACACCUGUCGCUUGUCACCGUGCAGUUCGGGAGGGAGGAAGCCCAAGUGAUUCCAGGCAAAGCCUAGGCGAGCAUCAGUCCUAGAAAGUGACAAGUAGAAGGGUCAUCUGUGACCUGCAAGGCAUUGUUCCCUGAAAUCCGUGCAUCGUGAGCGAUCUGCAUGGGUGGCAGCACAGGGUGGAUCUCAGCUGGAGUUGUAAGAACAAUGGGAACCCAGUUUUCUGCUUCUCCACCCUCCUCCCACAUUUCCCUAUUCGUUGGCAUAUUAGUUCGUGAAUGUGAAGAUGUCUACAAGCAAGAAAUGUUCCGUGAAAUAAAGACAGUGAAUGAAUGAAAACGUGUAACAUCGCCAAGGUGAUUGAGAACGAGGAGACUUCCUCCUCGCCCAGUCCUCUCACCCCUCAUUCACACACCACAAAACCAUUUACAAAGUGAUUUGUGGUAAUACUGUAGUCGUCUUAUAAAGCUUUGUUCUUUUAAACCUCA
Peromyscus maniculatus bairdii (prairie deer mouse) is the source of this 526-nucleotide non-coding RNA. NCBI's taxonomy places the organism in Eukaryota, Metazoa, Chordata, Mammalia, Rodentia, Cricetidae. The record is from RefSeq and is a predicted model, not a curated record.